Molecule: ribosomal RNA, 253 nt
Filed under: uncultured bacterium
Lineage: Bacteria
Description: partial 16S ribosomal RNA
Rfam family: Bacterial small subunit ribosomal RNA
Source: RNAcentral
UACGAAGGGUGCAAGCGUUGUUCGGAAUCAUUGGGCGUAAAGCGCGCGCAGGCGGAUCAGCAAGUUAGAUGUGAAAUCUCGAGGCUCAACCUCGAAACUGCGUCUGAAACUGCUAGUCUAGAAUAUCGGAGGGGGCAGGGGAAUUUCACGUGUAGGGGUAAAAUCCGUAGAGAUGUGAAGGAACACCGGGGGCGAAGGCGCCUGCCUGGACGACUAUUGACGCUGAGGCGCGAAAGCGUGGGGAGCAAACAGG